Long non-coding RNA from Vespula vulgaris, 897 nucleotides. RefSeq lists it as uncharacterized. The transcript has 4 exons. NCBI's taxonomy places the organism in Eukaryota, Metazoa, Arthropoda, Insecta, Hymenoptera, Vespidae. The record is from RefSeq and is a predicted model, not a curated record.
CGGUGGCUUGCUACAGGGUGAAACCGUCCUGGAUAUCUUUUCUCGGUAAAAAUCGCGUAAAAAGGAAACACCGCGGAAAAUCACCGCUCCGUGGUCGCGGCACGACUGAACGGCGAACCGCCUCCGCGCCGGUUCCGCGACGCGCUCAGAUUCUACUUCAAUUCGUUUUCGCUGAGCUGGUUAUAAAACAUUAAAAAGAAGAAAAAAACAUAUUUGAUGGAAGAUUUUUUUUAUUAUAAAUACCACGCACGCAAUCGUUAAAUGUCGAUGCAUGAUCUAUGAAUAAUCAAUCAAUGCUCUAAUAAUCUGAAAACUGAAAUACGUCGGCCAAUCUAUAAAAAUGAGUGAUCUAAGUUGAACGAGAUCGAUCGUAACAACAGAAGGUCACAUCCAUCACACGGAAGAUAACAGCGGAUCGGACAGGAGACUUGUACCGAGCUUCGUCGAUAAGAAAGCUGGCAAAGUUACUGGAUCGUUUGCAACGAUUAGACGGACAACGAUUGGGAAUGGUUGCGGCUGCAGCGAUUGGACAAAGAGUGUGGACAAAAUGGUGGACAAAACGGUGGACGAAACGGUGGACAAAACGGUGGGCAAAACGGUGGGCAAAACGGUGGACAAAACGGGGGACAAAACGGCGGACAAAACGGCGGACAAAACGGCGGACGAACGGUAGCGACGACGAAGAAGGGAUAAAAUCGGACAAAUGGAUAAAAAAUCGUUCGCGUCGUUCAAUUGGGUUUGACGUUUCUCUUUCGUGGAGGGGUAGGAGUAUAUUUCACUUAAAUAUAGAGGACCGGUCGGCGUAGAUACUUAUACGACGUUGGACAUAUUCACGCUCUUCGAGCGAAGGAAGAAGCAAAAGCAGCAGCAGCAGCAGCAGCAGAAGGAGUAGGUAAU